CCUUGCCGCCGCCACCCCUCCCCUCUGCCCCGUGCCGGAUCCGCCUGCCGCCGCCGCCACCGCUCUCCUCUGCCCCGUGCGGGAUCCUACCUCCUGGCCUCCUCCUCCUCCCGCUACCCUCAUCCCCUCUGCCGCCGCCGGGCCCUCUCCUCUCCCCGUCGGUGCGAGUGCGUGGGUCGCGGCGUGCGGAGAGCGAGGAGAGGGAGAGGACAGACGCGUGAGGAGGAGGAGGCCACGGCCGUCGGCUCCUCUCCUCUCCUCGUCGUCUCCUCCCCUCUCCCCGUCGGCCCAGCGCGCUGGUCGUGUGGCGUGAGGUGAGCGAGGAGAGGGAGGGGGAAGAUGCGUGAGGAGGAGGAGGACCAGGCGGUGGCGUGCUGCUGGAGUGGAGGAGUGGUCGUCCGCUGCACGUCGUUGUCGUCCUCAUACCCAAUCUGGCAGCGGCAGCUGCAGGCCAGUGCGUUAGCUAAAGGAGCAUGAGUGAAGAAGUCCUCCUUCAGAAUCUUGCCGAGAUGCUCCUCUCUCUUUGGGAUUUUGUUCCAAUGACACGUUGCUGACUAUUUGAGUUUUUUGCUCAAUCAGGCCUGUAGUGUCCGCCAUCAUGUAAUUUUAGGACCAAAUUCAGAGAAAACAGUCGCCUCUAUGGAAUUGUUGAAGAACCUGUCAAUCCAACGGAUUCAGUUGCACAAUAUUCGAUUUGAUGGUUGACAAUAUGCAGAGCAUCUUGGGAGCCUCCAUCAUGUUCUGGAUAAAGCAGCUGACGAAAUAGUAUGCUGAUCCCGUCCCUUGUUGACGAUGAAUUUGCCUUGAGCACUGCGGUUUUGUCAAUUUGGUAGAGCUUGCUGUCCUCUAGGUUUUAUGUACAGAGUUCUUAGAAAUGAAGCAGCUGCAGAAAAGGGACAUCCUGAGGAGAGGUACACCAACGCCUUCCUUGGGCACGGACCAGAGGACUCACAUUUUGUGUAGAGCUCACUUACUCAGAAGUGACGAUAUUGGAUCUGGUUUUGGUCAUUUCGGAAUUGCUGUUGAGGAUGGGCGACAUAGCUAAAAUUUGACGUGAGAAGUGCAGCCACAACAAUGGGCAGCCGAAUAAAAAAUAUAGGGAGACACAAGGAGAAUAUAACUGGUCAUACUUCAACAAUGACCACACUACUUAUGAUGGUUCAAGAGAAGAUAUCCGUGAUACUGAGCCUGGUGAUGAGGGCAUCAAGACAAAGAGAUUAAUUCACAACUCUGUUGUUGAUAGGUUGUACAAAUUUACAAGGCACCACGAUAUGUAACUUAUGUUUGUUGCUUCGGAGAGUACUGCCAUGCUGUCAUGGUCUUCAAAAUGUGGAAGGUGACUUUUGCUUGAUCUAGAGUGGACGUUGAGCCUUGCCUUGUGGUGGCAGUAGACAAGGAAGUCGCCCAUUGAUUGAUCUUGAGAUGGCCAUGUCCCUGCAUUGCGGACGCUGAAGACAGUGUGUGUGGUAUGAGCCCUGUCUCCUCCAACUUAUAUUUUGGAAGCAAGUCUUCAUCACUAUCCGCGCCAAAUUUUCUUCCCAUCCAGGCCUACAAUGUGUUCCUCCUAUUCCAUGGUUGUACCAUUUUUGCUGUGCUUUGUCUGAGUGUUUGGCAUCCUCUCUUUGCCUCAGAUAAGAGAUGCACUAGCUGCGAGGAGAUAUGAAAGGGCCAGUUCCGAAUCUUCAUGGAACUACUGAAUUUGAACGCAUACUUUGGCCUCUUUCUGGUCCAACGUGUUUGCAUCAACAUUUGAAUCAUUUUUUAUAAAUGUCUUGAGAAUAUGGUGAUUACGAUUGUCUGAUGUUCAAUUCUAUUUUUAGCAAAUUAUUCAGGAAGCCACGAUCCUUAGUUGCGGCUGAUGAGUGAAGGAAUUAUGUAGUACUGGUGGCACGCAGUUCACACUCCAACCCAAUUCGAGUUCAUCUCCCAUCAGCCCUGCUGCACACCGCCGGCAAAUAACCCUGCGACGCUAAAUCCCUUUGUUCCAUGGUCUAAUGAAUUUAACAGAAAGCCUCAAAUAGACCGACUUGAUCCGUAAUGUUUCAUCAAGAAAAAUGUUUUUUUUCGCGUCUCUCGUUCUGCACUACUCUUUACCAAAUUAUAUAUUGUAGGGAGCCUAGGAGAAUCAGCUAGGGUAUGCAUCACCUAAAGUGGCACCCUGCAGCAAGCUUGCGUUCACUACAUACAGUUCACAUCGAUUGUUUAUAGGAGCUUUAUAGAAGUUCUUCGAUUGACCCCUAUGUUUGCCAACGGAGUUAGUUGAUGAUUCCUACAUGGAGAGGAUUCCGAUGUUGUAUAUUGUUUCUUACAAACUAAUAAACGGUAACUCAGAUUAAUAAUUCUCUCUCCGUAUCUAAUAAUUUUCUCUUUGAAUAUUAAUUAAAGGAAUGGCUGUUGGCAUUUAAGUUUUACGAGCUUGUCAAUUUCUUCAAAUCAUUCUAAUAGAGUGUGUAAUAUUUCCUUGGCAUAUCUGUAGUAAGGUGUCGCCUACUUGGAGAUAUAGAGGUUUUUAGGACACCACACACAUUUAUGGUAUGUUGAAAAGGGAAGCAAAUCUAUGUUUUAAUGUUUAACAUUCAUAUGAAGUUUUUCUGCAAAUGUGACCAUGGAAUCCAUAUUUCUAGGUUCGCUUUUAAUAAUAUGCAUGAUCUUUCAUUUGCAGUUCCAGAGACCUGCUACUUAUUCAUAAUUUCAUACUCCCUUCGAUCCGUAAUAAGAGUUGCGGGUUUAAAAUAAGUUGAACUAACCUCAGUUCAAAACUACGAUGCUUAUUAUGGAUCAGAGGGAGUAAUAUACUUUCAGCUGCAUAUCAGAAUGCCAUUUCAUCUAUUUUCAUUUAAAGCAGUGAGUAGUGUACAUUGUUAAUGGUAUAAAUAUUGUCAGUGACCAAAUUAAUAGAUUUAUGCAUUCGAUUGUAUGCACCAGAAUUUUUAGAGUACAUGCUUGGCACUACAUCUACUACUCCAAGAUUAUGUGGUGCUGCCUUGCUGACCCAAAUCUCCAGGGUCUCUUUAAGGAGAAGCCAGAUGGAACAAAACAUGAUAAUGGCCAUUUGCCUUUCUCUGGGUAAUACCGAAGUGACUGCUCGGCUACCAACCAACGUCUCACCUUUUGUUUCAUUGUGUAUGCUGUCAACUGGCACUGAAGAAAAUAGUGAUUUGCUGCUGACUGACAUAGUGAAAAAAAAGAAGAGGUGUGAGUCUUUUGGUGGUGCCUUUUGGAGAUAAUAGUUAUGUAACAGAGAUAAUAGACAAAAAACAAAGAGGUAUUAUCGGGUACUCAACUAUGAUAUGGAAGGCAUUUCUGCUUUUGUCAAUGGCAACCCACCGAACACACCCAUCAGGAAGAGUUGCUUACAUGUUGAGGUCAUUUUUCAUACCAAAGGCACAUGUAGCGAUGACUACCUGAUGUAAAUGACUGCAUAACUUAGUUAACAUAAGCUGAAUGACCAGAGCUAUCUAUAUGAUGCAUUUCUGCCUAUGUAGCUUUGCUUAUCAUGAACUGAUCUUGUGCCUUUCUUUUGGCCUAUAAACCGACCAUGCAUUGUAAUAUAUAAUAUUAUGUAUGAACAGUGACUCUGUAUGAACAUCAUACCUAGAUAUUUAUUUUCUUAUGCUUCAA
Molecule: long non-coding RNA, 3621 nt
Organism: Triticum aestivum (bread wheat)
Lineage: Eukaryota; Viridiplantae; Streptophyta; Magnoliopsida; Poales; Poaceae
Exons: 7
Source: RefSeq, a predicted model, not a curated record